Molecule: small nuclear RNA, 133 nt
Organism: Cyprinus carpio (common carp)
Lineage: Eukaryota; Metazoa; Chordata; Actinopteri; Cypriniformes; Cyprinidae
Source: Ensembl
AAAAAGGGCAUCUGCUGUGAUUGGCAUAGCUGUGGAUGGUUUCUGACACAGCUACGGAAUCACUAUCAAGAGAUUUCGGAUGCACAAUUUUUAUAACCCGAGGCUGCCAAUGAUCGCUAAUCUUGGUGCCUCA